AGUGAACGCUGGCGGUAGGCCUAACACAUGCAAGUCGAACGGCAGCACAGUAAGAGCUUGCUCUUACGGGUGGCGAGUGGCGGACGGGUGAGGAAUACAUCGGAAUCUACUUUUUCGUGGGGGAUAACGUAGGUAAACUUACGCUAAUACCGCAUACGACCUACGGGUGAAAGCAGGGGAUCUUCUGACCUUGCGCGAUUGAAUGAGCCGAUGUCGGAUUAGCUAGUUGGCGGGGUAAAGGCCCACCAAGGCGACGAUCCGUAGCUGGUCUGAGAGGAUGAUCAGCCGCACUGGAACUGGGACACGGUCCAGACUCCUGCGGGAGGCAGCAGUGGGGAAUAUGGGACAAUGGGCGGAAGCCUGAUCCAGCCAUACCGCGUGGGUGAAGAAGGCCUUCGGGUUGUAAAGCCCUUUUGUUGGGAAAGAAAAGCAGCAGGUUAAUACCCCGCUGUUCUGACGGUACCCAAAGAAUAAGCACCGGCUAACUUCGUG
This 492-nucleotide ribosomal RNA is filed under the name uncultured bacterium. RNAcentral describes it as "partial 16S ribosomal RNA". It matches the Rfam family "Bacterial small subunit ribosomal RNA", at positions 29 to 507 of the family's 1533-position model. The record is from RNAcentral.